GCACUGCUGACGAGUCCCAAACAGAACGAAAUAGCUCUCCAGUGC
This is a non-coding RNA of Echinostoma caproni, 45 nucleotides long. NCBI's taxonomy places the organism in Eukaryota, Metazoa, Platyhelminthes, Trematoda, Plagiorchiida, Echinostomatidae. The record is from Rfam.